RNAcentral lists this ribosomal RNA (253 nucleotides) under uncultured Pasteuria sp. RNAcentral's name for it is "partial 16S ribosomal RNA". It matches the Rfam family "Bacterial small subunit ribosomal RNA", at positions 524 to 776 of the family's 1533-position model. Lineage: Bacteria; Bacillati; Bacillota; Bacilli; Caryophanales; Pasteuriaceae. The record is from RNAcentral.
CACGAACUGUGCAAACGUUAUUCGGAAUCACUGGGCUUAAAGAGUUCGUAGGCGGUCUGUUAAGUCGAGUGUGAAAUCCCCCGUCUCAACCGGGGAAUUGCGCCCGAAACUGGCAGGCUGGAGUGAGAUAGAGGUGAGCGGAACUGAUGGUGGAGCGGUGAAAUGCGUUGAUAUCAUCAGGAACACCGGUUGCGAAGGCGGCUCACUGGGUCUUUACUGACGCUGAGGAACGAAAGCUAGGGGAGCGAACGGG